Molecule: ribosomal RNA, 429 nt
Filed under: Acidobacteriota bacterium
Lineage: Bacteria; Pseudomonadati; Acidobacteriota
Description: Acidobacteria bacterium partial 16S ribosomal RNA
Rfam family: Bacterial small subunit ribosomal RNA
Source: RNAcentral
UGGGGAAUUUUGGACAAUGGGGGAAACCCUGAUCCAGCCAUCCCGCGUGUGCGAUGAAGGCCUUCGGGUUGUAAAGCACUUUUGGCAGGAAAGAAACGUCAUGGGUUAAUACCCCGUGAAACUGACGGUACCUGCAGAAUAAGCACCGGCUAACUACGUGCCAGCAGCCGCGGUAAUACGUAGGGUGCAAGCGUUAAUCGGAAUUACUGGGCGUAAAGCGUGCGCAGGCGGUUCGGAAAGAAAGAUGUGAAAUCCCAGAGCUCAACUUUGGAACUUCAUUUUUAACUACCGGGCUAGAGUGUGUCAGAGGGAGGUGGAAUUCCGCGUGUAGCAGUGAAAUGCGUAGAUAUGCGGAGGAACAGCGAUGGCGAAGGCAGCCUCCUGGGAUAACACUGACGCUCAUGCACGAAAGCGUGGGGAGCAAACAGG